UAUACACAUAUAAAUUUAAUAUCUUUGGGGUUUUUUGGCUACUUAACAAACUAAACAUAAGCCUUCCCCUUCUUCAAAUCAACAUUAUUUUUCAAAGGCUUUCGCUGCCCACAACUCACAAUCUGUGUUCCAAUCUGAAGCCAUAAUGUUAUGUGUAAUCUGAGUGUCCUUGAAACUAUCUGCUGUUCCUUGAUGUUUUGUAUGCUGCUGUAGUAAUGAGUGUUAUUUUUUUUUAGCAUGUACACAUUUUUUAGUUGUGUCAGAGAUAUCCCUUUUGUCCCUUUUAAUGAGAAUUGAGACAUUUGCUGGAAUGAUUUUAGAGUAAUCUAGUUCAGAAGGUAGGAGAAUGCUAAAAUUUCAUAUUUUGGUGGACCCACUGGGGUACCCCAGAGUGAUAUUCUGACCUGCAUUGGGUUUCCCAAGACCAUCACCGAAGUUUUGAGGGGCCUUGGAGUUGUUCUGGAGCCUUGGGUGAGAGUGUGGCAAAGAAGGGUAGUCCCCGGGAACACCUAAGGAUCUGGAAGCAUCAUUUAAUCGAAACAGUAACCAUGAAGCGUCCCUCCACUUGUUACUUCUUAGUUACACCUGUUGCUUACAAUGAUCAGGACACUCCAGUUUUAUGGGGAAGCACAGACCUGCAGGUCUGAAAAUUGGAAUCCAUAUUUUCCGGAACACAAAUUUUAAUUUAGUAUAUUUUGUAUGCUUUCAAAACCAAACAGUUCAAAAUCCACCAUACAGAGAAUGACUCCCUUUGUUUCACUAAGAUCCUACAACCUAAAGCCCUUUCUUAAUCUUAUCUGUUUAAUUAGACUGAAGGUAAUGGUGGCCUCAGUCAGACUUGAAAGAUCUAUUUGAGUGAACAAAAUCUGCAAUAUCCUGUUAACAGGAACGGCCUAUUUUGUAGAAAAUGUUCUUGUCCUUGAUGAUUUAGCCAUUCACCUUACAUUGAAGGCUGGUCCAGAUGCUAACUCCACAUUGACUUUUCCUGUGUGCCUCUUUAAAGAGGUAAUUAAUCCAGUAAUGUAAAGGAGAACCCACAGUAAAACAUCUGUUAAAUAGCACUUGGAGUACUAGAAUUAGUAUUGUUCAUUUAUGUGCCAAAGUUUUACAUGCCCUCAUAAGAUCCAGUAUAUAGACCAGCUUUCUAAUCUCCAACCUCAAACCAAAGAUAUUUUUGAAUUACCUCAUAUAAUAGCAUCAAAUUAAGGGUAAUGGUAAGAGAAACCCAUCAUUCACAAAUGAAAUUUUCCAAACUGAAAAACUUUCUUUAAUGAAAAAAACUACAUGGAAAGCAAAAAAGAUUUUUAAAAGAUUUAUUUACUUGAGAGCAAGAGAGAGUGGAGGAGGAGCGGAGGGAAAGGGUCUCAAGCAGACUCCCCGCUGAGCGCAGAGGAUGUGGGGUUUGAUCUCAUGACCCUGAGAUCAUGACCUGAGCAGAAAUCAAGUUGGAUACGUAACCAACUGAGCCACCCAAGUGCCCUGGAAAGCAAAAUUUUAUGUUAAGUGUAAGUUGUAAUAGCAAGCAGUUUGUGACUUAGACGUGUUGAAAUGUUAAAGUAUACUGACAUCUAGCUACUUCUGAUAGAAGUGGGACCAAGGCAGUAACAUUUCAUAAAUAAACAAGGUUAAUUUACCUUAAAGCAAAAGAAAUAUCAGAAAGUUUACUUUGGGUGAGUGUGUGGCAAAGAAGCACCACACCAAGAAGGAAAAGUCGCCAGCCCUGUAAUCUGGACUCACCACUCAUUGUCUUCCUUUCUCCUUUAACGGCCUACAACAAUGACCUCUGAGAUCUUUUGACCUACAAAAGUGAAUGGUUCCAAUUCUGGCUUGUCAUUGGUCCCUGUUACCUAAAUUAAAAUUUUUUACAUCAAAAGUGUCCUAGGGCCCCCUGGUAAAGUGUCAGACAACAUAGUUUUUAUUAUAUUUUAGGAAGCCAUAUUAAUAUGCGCCCAGGUAUAUUACACCAUUUGCAUGUCAGAAUGAAGACAUGAAAGAAAUGUUCUUAUGUAGCCAAGUGAUUAUCUCAUGAAAAGAUUGGAGAAUCAUUUUUGUAGGAUGAGUUCCGUUUUGAGUGAUUUUGACUAUGCUCUCAAAAGCAUUUAAAAAUAUAUUUGCGUAUUUUUCUAGACUUGAGCCCAUAUAUUUCAGAUGUUCUGUGGGAAUAAUUUCAUUCAAUGUGUAUGAAAAAAAUCAUUGUUCUCACAUCUUUUGACAAUCAUUUAUGAAAAACAUUCCUGAUACAGUACUCAACUGCUUUGUUAGACAACUGGUAAAUGUCUUUGUAUUUGGACUGCCUGGAAAAGCAGUAUGUUUGUACAUAGUUUGCGGGUCAACAUGGAGACUAGUAUGAUUGUUAAAAUUAAUAAGUGCCAUAUAAAUAAUCUUAAUUAGCAAUGUCCCCUUCGAGCUAUCAGCCUUAGGGUUAGAUUCUGCCGAUUGCCAUUCAGGAGUUUUGAAAGUACACACUUUCUGCUAAAAUACUACUUAAUUCAUUUAAGUGGAAACUUUGUUUUUCAGUGAAACAGUACCUGUUCAGUUUCCUUGUAGAUCUCAGGGUCAGAAGAAAGGAGAAUUGAGCUUUCUCCCAGCUCUAAAACAUUCAAGCUUGCUUUUAUUCAUUUUGGUCAGCCUUUUUAAACAACCGAGACAACUUGGGAAUGCACUUCUAAUGAUUCCAAUUAGAAAAAAAUAAGCCCUGCAAGCAGAUCUUUUUUCUCUUUAGGAACAUCAUUGCUUUCUGGAAGCAGAAAUGAUUUUACUUUUGAAAUUGAAAGAGAUCCACAUAGUUUUGUGUUCUUGAUGUAUGCAAGGCACAUACAGCUUGCCUCUGCAGAUAAACCCAAACUUCAUUUUGUGUGAUUUUUAAAAAUUAUUUUGGAAGUGCAAAGACUAGCAAGGAAGAUGUGUUUAUUUUAUAUUAUAUAUUAUCUUUCAAAAUCUUGUGGAUUUUUUGUGGUUUAGGGAGCAGGUUGUGAUGAGUUUUUUUAUGAAUGCCUUCAUUCUACGCCAUCCUCAACUCAGAUUUUACAUAUUAAGUAUUGCUCACUGUCACCUAACAAACUAUAACAGUUUAGGAUUAUGUGUUUGCUUCAGUGUCCAUGAACUCCUCAUUUGUUUUUCUUACAGUCCACUUAGCCUUACCAUAUAAAAAGUGCUCAGUAACUGUUGGUUGAGUAAUCAGCACAUUUUCAAAACUCUAUCCAGAUCUUCAAAGACAAAAAAAAAAAAAAAAAAAAAAAAAAA
RNAcentral lists this long non-coding RNA (3243 nucleotides) under Canis lupus familiaris (dog). Its description in RNAcentral is "lncRNA (ENSCAFG00845017958.1)". Lineage: Eukaryota; Metazoa; Chordata; Mammalia; Carnivora; Canidae. The record is from RNAcentral.